CCUACGGGUGGCAGCAGUGGGGGAUAUUGCACAAUGGGGGAAACCCUGAUGCAGCGACGCCGCGUGAGUGAAGAAGUAUUUCGGUAUGUAAAGCUCUAUCAGCAGGGAAGAAAAAAGACGGUACCUGACUAAGAAGCCCCGGCUAACUACGUGCCAGCAGCCGCGGUAAUACGUAGGGAGCAAGCGUUUCCCGGAUUUAUUGGGUGUAAAGGGGGCGUAGGCGGGCAGUCAAGUUGGUUGUGAAAUCCCGCGGAUUAACUGGGGAACUGCAACCAAAACUGACUGUCUUGAGUGCUGGAGAGGAAAGUGGAAUUCCUAGUGUAGCGGUGAAAUGCGUAGAUAUUAGGAGGAACACCAGUGGCGAAGGCGACUUUCUGGACAGUAACUGACGUUGAGGCACGAAGGUGUGGGGAGCAAACAGGAUUAGAUACCCUUGUAGUC
RNAcentral lists this ribosomal RNA (441 nucleotides) under uncultured bacterium. Its description in RNAcentral is "partial 16S ribosomal RNA". It matches the Rfam family "Bacterial small subunit ribosomal RNA", at positions 338 to 795 of the family's 1533-position model. The record is from RNAcentral.